This 429-nucleotide ribosomal RNA is filed under the name bacterium. RNAcentral describes it as "partial 16S ribosomal RNA". It matches the Rfam family "Bacterial small subunit ribosomal RNA", at positions 355 to 776 of the family's 1533-position model. The record is from RNAcentral.
UAGGGAAUCUUCCACAAUGGACGCAAGUCUGAUGGAGCAACGCCGCGUGAGUGAAGAAGGUUUUCGGAUCGUAAAGCUCUGUUGUUGGUGAAGAAGGAUAGAGGCAGUAACUGGUCUUUAUUUGACGGUAAUCAACCAGAAAGUCACGGCUAACUACGUGCCAGCAGCCGCGGUAAUACGUAGGUGGCAAGCGUUGUCCGGAGUUAUUGGGCGUAAAGCGAGCGCAGGCGGAAUGAUAAGUCUGAUGUGAAAGCCCCCGGCUCAACCGUGGAACUGCAUCGGAAACUGUCAUUCUUGAGUGCAGAAGAGGAGAGUGGAAUUCCAUGUGUAGCGGUGGAAUGCGUAGAUAUAUGGAAGAACACCAGUGGCGAAGGCGGCUCUCUGGUCUGCAACUGACGCUGAGGCUCGAAAGCAUGGGUAGCGAACAGG